This 254-nucleotide ribosomal RNA is filed under the name uncultured bacterium. RNAcentral describes it as "partial 16S ribosomal RNA". It matches the Rfam family "Bacterial small subunit ribosomal RNA", at positions 524 to 776 of the family's 1533-position model. The record is from RNAcentral.
UACGUAGGGCGCAAGCGUUGUCCGGAAUUAUUGGGCGUAAAGAGCUCGUAGGCGGCCUGUUACGUCUGCUGUGAAAUCCCGGGGCUUAACCCCGGGCGUGCAGUGGAUACGGGCACGGCUGGAGGCAGGCAGGGGAGAACGGAAUUCCCGGUGUAGCGGUGAAAUGCGCAGAUAUCAGGAGGAACACCUGCGGUGUAGACGGCUUUCUGGACCAUUGCUGACGCUGAGACACGAAAGCGUGGGUAGCAAACAGG